UCUGGCGGCAGUAGCGCGGUGGUCCCACCUGACCCCAUGCCGAACUCAGAAGUGAAACGCCGUAGCGCCGAUGGUAGUGUGGGGUCUCCCAAUGCGAGAGUAGGGAACUGCCAGAC
Molecule: ribosomal RNA, 116 nt
Filed under: Escherichia coli
Lineage: Bacteria; Pseudomonadati; Pseudomonadota; Gammaproteobacteria; Enterobacterales; Enterobacteriaceae
Source: RNAcentral